This is a non-coding RNA of Pelobates cultripes (western spadefoot toad), 274 nucleotides long. NCBI's taxonomy places the organism in Eukaryota, Metazoa, Chordata, Amphibia, Anura, Pelobatidae. The record is from the annotation of a GenBank genome assembly.
GUGAGGGAGGGGGUGACUAGUGACAGAGGGAGGGAGGGGGUGACAGAGAGAUAGAGGGAGUGACAGAGAGAGGGAUGGGGUGACUAAUGACAGGCACCCCCUCCCUCCCUCUGUCACCAGUCAUCCCCUCACUCUGUCACUAGUCACCUCUUCCCUCCCUCACUUUGCCACUAGUCAUCUCUUCCCUCCCUCACUCUGCCACUAGUCACCCAUUCCCUAACUGUCACUAGUCACCCCUCUCCCUCCCUCUGUCACUAGUCACCCACUCCCUCAC